AUGGGUUAACAGUUGAAGGACCAUCUACACCUAUCAAGCCACAGCUGUUUACCUGGCACAGAAAGUACAUUUUUGGAGACACGGAAUUCCAGUGACCCUGGGUAGUCUCUAUUUCCGUGCCUGUACAACAGGCUGUGCUGAGAAGCGCCAUGUUUUUUUUUUUUUUUUUUUAAAGAAGAUUUAUUUAUUUAUUAUAUGUGAGUGCACUGUAGCUGCCUUCAGACACACCAGAAGAGGGCAUCGGAUCCCAUUAUAGAUGGUUGUGAGCCACCAAGUGGUUGCUGGGAUUUGAACUCAGGACCUCUGGAAGAGCAGUUGGAGCUCUUAACCGCUGAGCCAUCUCUCCAGCCCAAGCGCCAUGUUUUUAUAGUUCCUAACGUUCGCCCAUGGUUCUGAUCCAUGACCUCCCUUCUACAGGUCUGAUGACAGCCGGACCACUUUGCUUCCUAAUAGAGAAGGAAUGGUUUCUGCUAUUUGAGGGCCUUCCCUUCCCCUCUGGGGUUUGGAGCUUAUUGGAGAUUCAGGAGAUAGAGCACGGGCAGGGCAUGUGUAUUGAUUCCUUCUUGGCUGGCUUGCUUUGCUCUUUAACCAACCCCUGUUAACCUGGACGGGUCUGGGUCUCGCUCCACAGUAACACUGCAGUUUUCAGAAAUUCCGAAUCUAACCAAGAAAGGUUUUGAAAAGACUGCCUUAUACUGCCUUUAUCCAGCAGUUCCCCACUGCCAGUGCCUCAUCCGUUUAAAAGUUCCGAGCAGAAACUCAGUCACCUGUGCCCUUUGCUGAGCGCUGGGGUACCCCUUCUGGAGAGCGGGAACAUAGGAAACUGUAACUAAAGCAAAGAACUGCGUCACCAUGGCUCGGUUCACCUGGUGAGGAACAGCCACAGCUUGCUCCAGAUCUGCAAACAGGAGGCUUAGGGACAAGUGUUUAUGUUCAAAGGCUUAACAAUACCCCCCACCCCUAGAUCCUAAAUUAUCCUGCCCAGUGUUAGCGACAUUAACUCAGCUGGCCUUAGUGACCUGCAGUACAGCUGGAGGCCUCAUCUCUCAACACACGUGCCAACACGACCAGCAGGCACAAGCUGUGGGACUGAAGAGGUACUUGCUGUCCUCAACACAUUUCAUCUCCAACACAGCUCUGUUUUGUUUACUAGUCUCUCCUCUGGUCUUGGAAAAUUCUGACUCCAGCCCUUAGCCAAACCACAUCCCAAUUUCAAACUUCUCCAAAUUCUCACCUCCAAAAAGCAGUGCCAGGUUAACUAACACACCUGGCUCCAAUUACUGCAGCUCGGGCCCUUCCAAGGCUCAGUGACUUUAGUGAUUGUUUACCUCGGACCAGCUGGAGCUGAUUAAGGAUGUGGUUACGUUGUUUCUGUCGUGUGUGUUUAAGGCAAUGUUACGUUACUCCGCCUCUGUCCACUCUGAUCCCAUAUUGCUAUCUCUCUCCCACCCCUCACCUCUCUCUCCCCCUCUGUUCUCCUUCCUCCCUCCCCACCCCCUUUUCUCUAGUAUGAGUAGUGAAUCCUGAGCUCUGAGCCUGCUUCCCUCAUCACCCCCAUAAUGCUCUGCGAACAGUGCAUGAAGGCUUCGUGCAUGGAUCACUGUCCAAACGCCUGCUUCUAAUUUCUGCAGAGAGGGACUUCUGCUCAGCAAACUGAAACGAUUAGCUCCUCUAACCUUCCAAAUCUUGAUAAACAAAAGAAAGGGGGAGAGAGAGAGAGAGAGAGAGAGAGAGAGAGAGAGAGAGAGAGAGAGAGAGAGGGGAGCGAGCGCUGUGAGGGCAUUCUGUCCUAAUGGAGCAGUAGGGUAGGGUGCUUUGGAGAGCCAUCAAAUGCUCACCAGUGAGGAAGACCUAAGCAUUGAACUCAGAAUGUUUUUCCAAGUGUUGAAAGGAAACAUGCCUGGUUUGUAAACCUGUGCCAUCUAAGUCUUCUGUUUUAGGUAAGUCAUCAGUCAGCCAUGAAGUGUCUCUGACCUUCUGUGAGGUUUCAAGACUAUUUUUCUAGUUUACCAAUUCUAGAAACACUUUGGAUCCUCAAGCUCUCCUGGUGUUUCUCACUAGAUGCAAAUUAUUCUAUUUUUCAUAUUGGAGGCCUGGGCUAGUUCCAUUAAAAAUAUAAUCUUAAUUUCCAGUAUAGAAUUAGAAAACGGUAGCACUGAAGGAAACCUUAGGAGUGUAACCUCACCAGUCUCUUCCUAUAGGCAGAAAGGAACCAGCUUCAUGUGACUCUAGGCACAUAACCAAAAUUGAAACAAGAAGUGGGGGAACUGGGCUCAUGUAGCUACCUGACACACACAUGAACCCAGGCUGGGUCCUAACACCAGCACAGCAAACGAAAGACCACUGUAGGCAGGCUCUGUGACUACCAUAAGCUAACACCACAGGUUCAUACCUUGAAGCCUUGUCUUAGAACUACUGGAGCCAAUGAGAUAGUACAUCAGAUAAAGGUGCUUGCCACCAAGCUGUCAAACUGAGUUUGAUCCUGGGGUCUCCUACAAGUUAUCCUCUGCUGUGCUGAGAUGGUGGCACCCACACACAUACAAAAUGAGUGUAAUAAUUUUUUUUUUCGGAGCUGGGGACCGAACCCAGGGCCUUGCGCUUGCUAGGCAAGCGCUCUACCACUGAGCUAAAUCCCCAACCCCGAGUGUAAUAAUUUUUUUAAUAAUUUUUAAAGAAGCAUUGUUUUAUACCUCUAUAAAAGUCAGAUGUCAGUAACCAGAUUUUCCAAAAAUAUAUAUAAUUAAUGAGAAUUUUCCAGAUACAAAUUAUGAAUAUGCAUUACAUGGAUUACAGACCAUGCCUGUAAUCCCAGGACUCAGGACGAUGAGUCUAGCAGAUGGAAUGUUUGGGGCUAGCCUGGAGUUAUACAGUAAGACACUGUCUCAAAAGCUAACCAAACAAAUAUUUGAUAAGUAAAUUUUAAUCUCUAGGUUCAACGUACUUCCUAAGGCUAAACCGUAUAUCAACAUUGUAUCUGUUCAUUCAGAACAUUUAUUUCAUAAAUAUUUGGGUACUCACUGUGUGCUAGGUAGGCAUUACUUUAGUUGCUGGAAAUAUCAGCAGACAAAAAAAAAUGUCUAUCAUCUUGGGUAUUCUACUUGAAGAGAGAAAACAGGCGAGUUUAAAGACUAGCCCCAGCUGAUCUGAAUUAUUUUAGAGAUAAAAGGGGGUUGGAUACUAUAGUGGGAGUCCAGUGUGGAGAGUUGGAGAAGCUGGUAUUGUAAAUGAGUGAGGAGCAAAGGCCUCUGUGCCAGGAAGAUGCCCCUCCCUGCAAGUGUAAUCCUAAGCAGGUGUCACUCUAGAACUAAUGAGGAACCAGCUUCAAAAGACCCUGUGAUAGGGUCUAAGCUUUUAAAGAAUCAUGUUGGCUGUUGCUCAGAGAAUAGAUCUUAUUAGCUCGUAAAGAUAGUGAGUGGCAUUUAUUGAGUGAUGGGUUGGUUCCAGCUACUGUUCUGUCCUCUUUUAAUAACUUCCUUGUGAUAGCGACCCCAUGAAGCAGAUUGUAUCAUUAUCCCAGGAAACGAGGCAGAGAGAAAUAACUCGGACCAAAGCAAGAAACUUAGUUUCCAAUGUGAACACUAUAUCCCAGACCUGGAGCACUCAAAAGACUGGGUCAGAAAUGGCUACAUCUCAAAUAUAAACAUGGCGGUUCAAACCACCGGUAGAAAGAGGCCGGAGGCAGGCAGAUUCAGAAUAGAUCCCCAUGGUAGAAGAAAUGAGACAAGAUAUGACAUUUGAGAAAACCUGGAAUUCACCGGUAUUGUGAAUGAGUGACAAUGCCAGGGGGUGGAGUUGUCAUGAGUGGCUUCGAAUAAUUCUCCAAACUAGAUAAAAUAAAAUAUACAGUUCAUGUGGCUGCCAUGCCAACUAUCCAAAAACGUAAUGACAUAAAUUUAUUCUCUCGCUGUGUUUAAGGACGGAGUUCCCCCAGCAUGGUGGGCCAAAGCCAAGGUAUCUCUAGAGAUGCCCCUCCAUGGGCUCUCAGAGUUUCUGGUGUGUCUUCUAGUUCCUCAGUGAGGCUGCCAUCUUUAGUUUGUGACCCCAUCCCUCUAAUCCCUGUCUCCUAGGUCAUACUGGCUUCUCCCCUUCUGGCUAUUUCAUGGAAUCUCACAAGGAAACCGGUGAGAGCACUUGGGCCUCCCAGAUGAUCUCCUCAUUGAAAGGGUCUUCAUCCCACCUGCAGACUCUCUGUGUAAAGUGACAUUCACAUGUUUGAUGCCCAGAAGAGCCAUAAGGAAACAGAUCGGUGGUUGUUGGCUGAGCAGGGAGAACAAAAAAAUCGGGCAGCGGUGCUGCAGACACAGAGCUGAGUAAGAAGCCAGAGGUGCUUACCCACUAGGCCCUUGGUAAAUAAUUCAAGCCAUGGCUCCGUGAAUGAUAAAAGGAUGAAUGAUGAGAACGUUGUUUAUGGAAGGUUGGAUUUAUGAAGGAGUUCCCAGCCGAGGGCCUGAAGCUCAAGAUGUCUGUCCCAGGAGACUGACUAAGGAGGCUACAUGGUAAGGAGAGAGGGACAGAGAAAUCCUAGAGCCACUGCAGAGAAAAAUGGAGGUAAACUUGACUGACCAGGAAGCUGGCUUGGGAAAACAGCCCUGGGAAAUCAGCUUAGGAAGGCUCUUAAAUUCCAUUUCAGCUGGAGAGAUGGCUCAGGGGUUAAGAGCACUGACAGCUCUUCCAGAGGUCCUGAGUUCAAUUCCCAGCAACCACAUGGUGGCUCACAACCAUCUGUAAUGGGACCCGAUGCCCUCUUCUGGUGUGUCCGAAGACGGUGAUGGUGUAUUCAUAUAAAUUCCAUUUCAGAGACACCAUCAUCUUCAUUUCCAGGGAUACAAGUCAGGUUGAGAGGAGCAAGCUGCUCAUCAGGAGCCCACACUGGGGAAGUGCUGGACUCACCGAUCACCACUGGACCUCGCUGCUUUGCCCUGUGGUCUGGCCCUUCCUUAGUCCCAGGAGUCCACGAGUUGGUCAGACAGCACCUUGCUUGACUCACAGAGGCCUGGCCUGACACCAUCACACUGCCCAGCAGCCAUCACCUAAACUGUACUGGAUGUCUCCAAGAGAAGGGAUGAUACUUCUCCAGUGAUGACUCAUAUUGGGGAGACAACCAUGACGAACAGCAGAACAAGCAUGCCUCCCGCAGGGAAGAAACGCAGCUAGUUCCUCGGUGUUCUGCCCUGUGUUUUCCAAACAUCCAACCUUGAAGUGGC
This is a non-coding RNA of Rattus norvegicus (Norway rat), 5204 nucleotides long. The record is from RefSeq and is a predicted model, not a curated record. Lineage: Eukaryota; Metazoa; Chordata; Mammalia; Rodentia; Muridae.